AGAUACAAGGAAAGCAUCUGUGGGUUGUGGUGAGAACAGUUUCACUUUGUGAAGUAAAAGAUUUUCACUUUGGCAGAUAUUUGAGAAAAUGGGAAUAGGAGACAUGUGCACUCAUGGAUUUUCAUCAUGUAUAUGAUAAAUGAUCUGGGCCAAAUGUGUAUGUCUUGCCAGUAGACUGCAUCUGGUGGUGUAGAUGAAUCCUCAGUUUUGAGUGCCUGCGUCUCUGCCAUACAGGUGUUAACACAGCGCUCCUACCCUUGCGCUUCCCUGUCCUGGGAUCCUCAAAGAAAGUCUCCUGUUCCUGGUCUCUUCUCUUCAGGCUUUGACUACCAGGCUUCUAUGAGCACUGGCUUUGGGUUUUUUUUCCAGAUAUCUGGAAUUUCUUCAGUCCUGGAACAGCUUACUUGCUACUAAAUAGUUCAUGAUGAAUGAACAAAGAGCAUUCUGGACUUUUGGAUGGCAUCCUCCGAGUUGAAGCUUGUAUGUUCCUGGCCUUCUCUUUACCUAUUUCUUUCCUUUAGUUGACAGAAAAAUGGAAAUUACUUGGGAUUUUCGAAGAGAUUGACAAAAGGUAUAUUUUUUGAGAAAGUGCAGGAAGAAUGAAAGGGUUCAAGAUAUGUGGU
RNAcentral lists this long non-coding RNA (623 nucleotides) under Apteryx rowi (Okarito brown kiwi). RNAcentral's name for it is "lncRNA (ENSARWG00000002039.1)". Lineage: Eukaryota; Metazoa; Chordata; Aves; Apterygiformes; Apterygidae. The record is from RNAcentral.